CGCGACAAAGGCAAACCCGUCGAAAGACGGCGACGCAAAGCUACGAGGCUACCGCAGUUGCAACGCGCCACGCCAGUCGAGCCGCCGAAC
Molecule: non-coding RNA, 90 nt
Filed under: Gemmatimonadota bacterium
Lineage: Bacteria; Pseudomonadati; Gemmatimonadota
Description: Gemmatimonadetes bacterium c-di-GMP sequence
Rfam family: c-di-GMP-I-GGC riboswitch aptamer
Source: RNAcentral